GAUGAACGCUGGCGGUAGGCCUAACACAUGCAAGUCGAACGGCAGCACAGUAAGAGCUUGCUCUUACGGGUGGCGAGUGGCGGACGGGUGAGGAAUACAUCGGAAUCUACUUUUUCGUGGGGGAUAACGUAGGGAAACUUACGCUAAUACCGCAUACGACCUACGGGUGAAAGCAGGGGAUCUUCGGACCUUGCGCGAUUGAAUGAGCCGAUGUCGGAUUAGCUAGUUGGCGGGGUAAAGGCCCACCAAGGCGACGAUCCGUAGCUGGUCUGAGAGGAUGAUCAGCCACACUGGAACUGAGACACGGUCCAGACUCCUACGGGAGGCAGCAGUGGGGAAUAUUGGACAAUGGGCGCAAGCCUGAUCCAGCCAUACCGCGUGGGUGAAGAAGGCCUUCGGGUUGUAAAGCCCUUUUGUUGGAAAAGAAAAGCAGCAGGUUAAUACCCCGCUGUUCUGACGGUACCCAAAGAAUAAGCACCGGCUAACUUCGUG
This 492-nucleotide ribosomal RNA is filed under the name uncultured bacterium. RNAcentral describes it as "partial 16S ribosomal RNA". It matches the Rfam family "Bacterial small subunit ribosomal RNA", at positions 28 to 507 of the family's 1533-position model. The record is from RNAcentral.